CCCUUAGAUGUUCUGGGCCGCACGCGUGCUACACUGAGUGGAUCAGCGGGUCAGGUUGCGCGAAAGUGUUUCCUAAUCUUGAAAUCCGCUCGUGAUGGGGAUUGACGGUUGCAAUUUUCCGUCAUGAACGAGGAAUACCUUGUAGCGCGGGUCAUCAUCCCGCGCUGAAUACGUCCCUGCCCUUUGUACACACCGCCCGUCGCUCCUACCGAUUGAGUGGUCCGGUGAGGCUUUGGGAUCUGAGCGGAAAGAGCGUUUCGCUGUUUCUGCUCGGAAAACUCAGUCGAACCUUAUCAUUUAGAGGAAGGAGAAGUCGUAACA
This 321-nucleotide ribosomal RNA is filed under the name uncultured eukaryote. RNAcentral describes it as "partial 18S ribosomal RNA". It matches the Rfam family "Eukaryotic small subunit ribosomal RNA", at positions 1470 to 1796 of the family's 1831-position model. The record is from RNAcentral.